Astatotilapia calliptera (eastern happy) is the source of this 572-nucleotide long non-coding RNA. NCBI's taxonomy places the organism in Eukaryota, Metazoa, Chordata, Actinopteri, Cichliformes, Cichlidae. The record is from Ensembl.
GCAUGCAUCCCUCCUUGAGAUGGGGCACUGGCCAGGCCUGAGCUUUCAGUGAGGGGAGCAACAGGCUGGCUGGUGACAAGGGGCAAAUGUUUAAAGCAAAGAGAGGGGGAAAAGAGAAAAAAGUACCAACAACAAAUUAAUGACAGCAGCCGACCAACACGAAGUGAGUGUGAAAGAGUCAUAAGAACAAGAGAAGAGGACGAGCCUGAGAGUGAAGCUCUGCUUCUGUUGCUGCUGCUGCUGCUGCUGCUGCUGCAGGUGGAGGGCCUGUCACCUUUGAGGACACGCUGAGGUUGAAAAUUAAGACAGAGACCAAGAGGACAGCCAUGUUUUCAACCAGACCAGAGAUCCAGCCCUGUCUCUGAAAAACCUGCUUCAAUAGGAGAACACAGCCAAUGCAAACAACAGGAUCACCAGUCAUCUGGGGGACAUUAAAAAUGUAGCUGCUUCAGAAAAAAAAUUUCACAAUGCUUCUGUAUUUUGCAAAUACUGUUUGCAAUAAAACCUGCAUCACUUUUUAAUACUGUGAUUUUCAUCCUGAUACUGGAUGGUACUGAAGCAUGACUAGCACA